This 74-nucleotide transfer RNA is filed under the name Winogradskya consettensis. RNAcentral describes it as "Actinoplanes consettensis tRNA-Asn". It matches the Rfam family "tRNA". Rfam says of the family: Transfer RNA (tRNA) molecules are approximately 80 nucleotides in length. Their secondary structure includes four short double-helical elements and three loops (D, anti-codon, and T loops). The record is from RNAcentral. RNAcentral also lists the same sequence under 1 other name. Lineage: Bacteria; Bacillati; Actinomycetota; Actinomycetes; Micromonosporales; Micromonosporaceae.
UCCGGCGUCGCCCAAUGGCAGGGCAGCGCACUGUUAAUGCGUACAGGUGAAGGUUCGAGUCCUUCCGCCGGAGC